CCUACGGGUGGCAGCAGUGGGGAAUAUUGCACAAUGGGGGAAACCCUGAUGCAGCCACGCAGCGUGAGUGAAGAAGUACUUCGGUAUGGAAAGCUCUAUCAGCAGGGAAGAAGAUGACGGUACCUGAAUAAGAAGCCACGGCUAACUAAGUGCCAGCAGGCGCGGUGAUACGUAGGGGGCAAGCGUUAUCCGGAUUUACUGGGUGUAAAGGGAGCGCAGACGGCAGUGCAAGUCUGGAGUGAAAGCCCGGGGCUCAACCCCGGAAUUGCACUGGAAACUGUGAGGCUAGAGUACUGGAGGGGCAGGCGGAAUUCCUGGUGUAGCGGUGAAAUGCGUAGAUAUUACGAGGAACCCCAGUGGCGAAGGCGGCCUGCUGGACAGUAACUGACGUUGAGGCUCGAAAGCGUGGGGAGCAAACAGGAUUAGAUACCCCGGUAGUC
This 440-nucleotide ribosomal RNA is filed under the name uncultured bacterium. RNAcentral describes it as "partial 16S ribosomal RNA". It matches the Rfam family "Bacterial small subunit ribosomal RNA", at positions 338 to 795 of the family's 1533-position model. The record is from RNAcentral.